Non-coding RNA from Paramisgurnus dabryanus, 4965 nucleotides. The record is from RefSeq and is a predicted model, not a curated record. Lineage: Eukaryota; Metazoa; Chordata; Actinopteri; Cypriniformes; Cobitidae.
UGGAAAUUUAUUCUUUAUGCAUUUAUAUUAUUUUUGUAUUCUUCAUUGUAUGAUUUAUGUCAGUCAUGACAUUUUAAUCUGCGUGGGGUGAAGUCUAGGACAGGAAGUCUAGCUCGAUAGAGCUCGGGAUAGGAAGUAUGGCAAGGUGCAAGUGUGGUUUUUGUUUGUGUGAUGAUGUGCUUAAAAAACAUAUGUAUCGUCUGCCUGGAUACAAGUAGAGUAAAUAUAACCACCCAGAAGUGUCUAAACUACACCUAAUAAGGAGUUGUUUUGAUCGAAUAGCAUGGGGGGGGUGGUACAAACUCAAUGUCAGUAUAUAAUGAAGGAAGGAUUUGAGAUUCUUCACUUCUUCACAUAUCGUUUCACUGUCGUUAUGUGUCGAGUCCUUGUACAAGUAAAUAAAUCAUCUCUGAUGGACAGAUCCUGGUAUUCGUAUUAUUUUUCCACGACAAUUUGGCGACGAGGAUGGGAUCCCAAUAACCCGAGGAAAGGGUCAACGGUUUGAUCAACUCACCAUAGAUAGGAGAGGUGACCCAAACCCCCAGCUGAAGGGACGUGGGCGUUGACUCUGAUCCGAAGGUGACGGGAUCCAGACGAACCAGUGGAGAUAAUACGGUAAAUAAAAAUACGUUAUCUAGAAAGGGGUUUAAGUGAGUAAACACUGGAGAGUAAUUCUCUCCCGGAAAAUCACCUCUAGAAAGGGGUUUAAGUGAGUAAACACUGGAGAGUAAUUCUCUCCCGGAAAAUCACCUCUAGAAAGGGGUUUAAGUGAGUAAACACUGGAGAGUAAUUCUCUCCCGGAAAAUCACCUCUAGAAAGGGGUCUAAGUGAGUAAACACUGGAGAGUGGUCUCUCCCGGAAAAUCACUGCGUGAAAUUGUAAUCACUGAAGAGUAAGUCUCUUCUAAAAUUACGGACGGAAUUGUACCCGCCUGUAGAUAAUGGAAAACACGGGAAGUAGCGCUCCCCGUCCGAAAUGGAACACGGAAAGUGGAUUGUCUAUCAGAGAUGAAACCGGUUUAAUAAGAACUUAUGGGAGAGGAUGGAUAGAAACCAUACCUCUGAUACAAAAAUAUGUGGAAAUAAGUUUCAGUGUAACUAAAAAUAAAGAGCUCAGAGACAAAAUAAUACAGAAAGAUCAUUCUAAGAAUAAAGCCGGCAUCACCCCCAUACGAUGAACAGCAAAAUGGAGCAGUCGGAGGAGCCCCGUGCUGCCAACUACACCGAUACCCCCUGCCGAUCUCUAUGUCAACGCUGUGGCUGCACGGGACUCCUACGUGCAAACAACAAGAUGGAGAGACCGUGAGUAAUUUCCUGGCAAGAUUAGAAAAAGACUUUGAGAGACAUUCUGGCAUAACUGCAAAAAUGCCCAAUAAUGAACCCCACCCAGCGUACAGUAGGCACUUACCAAUGUACUUCAUGAGAAAUCUAGAUAUUGAACUGUCUGAACCUAUCAAAGCUACCCUGGACGGGGAGAAAAUGGCCACAUUGGAGGAAGUGGUGAAACAUGCGGAACACCACGAGAAGAGACUUAAACAAGAACGCCUCAAAAAGAACAGGGAGGCACAAGAUAUGAAUUUCACCAUGAUGCAAUGCACCCUUUACGAUCGACAACAACAGGAUCGUAACUCCGGUUUUCCAACACUUAACCCGCAGGGGUAAAGGUAGAGGACGGGGACGAGGGAACGGCCGGUGGAAUCAACGCGGAUGUUUCAACUGUGAUUCAAUGGAUCAUUGGAAAGAUCAAUGCCCCGAACUAAAAGUUCAAAAACCUCAUGCAGACUGAAAUGUGCUAAAUAGCGGGGAGGGGGCCGGUGGAGAGGAGACUGAAGUAGGUUCUUUUAUGCUCUGUCGCAAUGAAGAAUGCUUGGCCGGGGUAAGAAGUAUUUUUUCCUGCUUUACUCUGUGAUACUAAAUAAUCUUUCGCAAGAAAACCAUUUGAAAGGUUACAAUAUGUUUUAUUGUCUAUCUCAGGCAAAAAGAUUCUUUUUAUUGUAGAUUCAGGGGCCCCCACUUCAAUAUUGCUGAUUAUAUGCCCAAAUCUGUACAGAUGAUAAAAAAAAAAUGAAAAAUGUUCCCUCAGUGCCACAGGGCAUGUUGUUAAAGAAACUUUUUCUCAACCUUUACAAUGUAUAUAUGAACAUAAUCAAACUUCUUUUUUUUACCUCUUUUCUAAUUAGCAGAACUUGCCCAUAUAACUUGCUCGGUAGAGACAUCAUGUGUAAACUGCACAUGACGGUAUGGUGUGAUGAAGUGACUGGGUUGAAUGUGACUCUGUGUAAGGAAGUGUGCCUCAGUGUGUUUGUGGGGGAGAGGCCUGAGAGUGAUGCUGGUUUGAAAACACACUAAUGUACACGCCCAUCCUCAGAUUUUAUGUCACCAGAAGAUUUGCACUGCACAGCUCAUGUCACCUGGGAAAUCGAAGCAGAUUACCAAGCGGCGUGGGCACAGCAGUCUGGUGAUCAGUUGACCACAAAUUGGUUGUACUGGAAUGGGGCCUGGGCUGCAUUGAGUGUGAUGCUUCCUAAAUGUGCUUCUAUGUUGUAUGAUGUUGCAAAUGCUGGUCCUUACAUAUCACUGGCCAAAGCUACUGAUAUGAAAGGGAGUAUGUGGGCCCUAUAGUAAGUGCAUGCACAAAGGCCGCAAAUUGGCAUAUGUAAAAUGAUGACAUGUCUUAUUUUCCAUCCUUAGGUGUGCGGAGAACCGCAUACCAGAGCUAUUCUCUGCGAAAGCGCAGGGAAUAGCAGCGCAGCGACAGUUGGCAGCACACAUGGGGUGGAUCGGUCCACGAUGCCACUCCAUCAGUGGGCCACAGAUAAGUAUAAUGUGGGUCUCAUUAAAUCAUGUGCGUCCGUAAAGAUCACACCAAAGAGUGAUUUUCGCCAGUGAAAACCAUAAGAUCCUCUCAAAAAAGGAGCAGAGGACUGUAUCAAACCUGUUUUUGAUUCGUUGUUCGCAAAAGGAAUUAUUAUUCCAUGCUCGUAGUAACCGGAAAAUACACCAAUAUUUCCGGUAAAGAAAAGUAGAGGAAAAGUUGAGCCCACUGAGUGGAGAUUUGUACAAGAUCUACAGGCAGUAAAUGCGGCUGUAGAAGCAAGGGCUCCGAACGUGCCCAACCCUUAUACCAUCCUGUUACAAAUAUCACAGAGCACCGCAUUUUACAUGACCGUGGACAUUUCCAAUGUGUUUUAUUCAGUGCCAGUACAUCUGGACAGCCAGUUUUGGGUUGCGUUUAUGUUCGCCAGCCGCAGAUUCAUGUUCACUAACCUUUGCCGGGGCUAUCGUGAGUACUAUAAUAUACCACUAAGCCCUGGCAAAAAGCCUGUCCACCCUAAACCUCCCAGAUGGGUUGACUUUGCUACAAUAUGUUGGUAAAGGUAAAGCUCAGAACACAAUCUGUAAAAUCAAAAAGUAUACCUUACUAUGAAAAUGCUGUUUACUUAUUUUUAAUUAAAAUGUUGAGUGUGCUUAAAAUAGCUACUUGUUGUUUAUAAGUUAAAACGUAAAGUUCGCACAACUGAACCAAUUUAAGUAAAAUGACACAAAAUAGCCAAAAUGUUCUAUUGAGCAUGCGCAUUCGAGGGCAAUUCCCUUCCUCCACACCUGUUUCUAAUUUUUUUGAUUUCGAUGAGCUUUUUCCUGGAGGGCGUGGUACUGUUACAAUAUGUAGAAGAUCCUUUCAAUUCCAUGUUAAAAAAGUGGUUUGGUAAAUGGAGUGGGUAGAUUUCAUCUGUGUUGUGGUCAAUAGGUGUAAUGAUUGCUAUUUUGAAUUGGUGUGGAUGUUGUUGCAUACCAUUUAUUAAGAGGUCUCAUCGAGAAAACAAUUGAUAAAGGUAUGACUAAAAUGAUGUACCAACGGGUUGAACAGGAGGAAAUUGAGAAUAAAAUUGAGGAGCAAAAUGAGGAUGAUAGUUGUGGGAGGGCUCUGCAAAUGAGGAGGUGCUAGUGGAACCUCGCCCCUCACACGACCCUCUACGGCUAAAGAUGGGCUGCCUGGGUUGAAGAGGAUCUGCAUGCUUACACAAUUUUACACAUACACAUAUAGGAAUGUAAUUAACUAUGUUUAGCUCACUAGUGAUUUGCAUAACAUACUCACAGUGAGAUUGCUCAAAUGCUGAUUCAUGAUAUAGAAAUGUUUACACUGGCCAGCCUGUAAUCUUUGGUAUGUUGAUGUUUCAUUUUAUCUUUAAUGUUGUUUUUUAGAAAUCUAUGUUUUUUUGAUGUGUGGUUUGUCACUUGUGUUAUUGCAUUAAUAAUGUGUUGAAAACCUAAGGCAAGCUCACAAGGGAUGAGUAAAUUGCUACUUUAAAAAUGUUGUUUUAAAGUGCAUUAACAAUCUAAUAACAACCAAGGUGAUCGCUUUUUAUGGUAAUUAUGACUGUGUAAAUUAGAGGAAGGGGAUCAAAUGGGGAAGGAUGAGUUUGAACUGGUCGAGUUCCUUAAAGUAUUACAAUCAAUGUUUAAACGAAGGGCUUCUGAGAGCAGCGUAAAAGCCUGCAGGGAAGUCUGGAUAAAAAUGUCAUUUGGACAUUGGGGUGGAAUUGUAAUGGAAAUUUAUUCUUUAUGCAUUUAUAUUAUUUUUGUAUUCUUCAUUGUAUGAUUUAUGUCAGUCAUGACAUUUUAAUCUGCGUGGGGUGAAGUCUAGGACAGGAAGUCUAGCUCGAUAGAGCUCGGGAUAGGAAGUAUGGCAAGGUGCAAGUGUGGUUUUUGUUUGUGUGAUGAUGUGCUUAAAAAACAUAUGUAUCGUCUGCCUGGAUACAAGUAGAGUAAAUAUAACCACCCAGAAGUGUCUAAACUACACCUAAUAAGGAGUUGUUUUGAUCGAAUAGCAUGGGGGGGGUGGUACAAACUCAAUGUCAGUAUAUAAUGAAGGAAGGAUUUGAGAUUCUUCACUUCUUCACAUAUCGUUUCACUGUCGUUAUGUGUCGAGUCCUUGUACAAGUAAAUAAAUCAUCUCUGAUGGACA